GACGAACGCUGGCGGCGUGCCUAAUACAUGCAAGUAGAACGCUGAAGGAGGAGCUUGCUUCUCUGGAUGAGUUGCGAACGGGUGAGUAACGCGUAGGUAACCUGCCUGGUAGCGGGGGAUAACUAUUGGAAACGAUAGCUAAUACCGCAUAAGAGUAGAUGUUGCAUGACAUUUGCUUAAAAGGUGCAAUUGCAUCACUACCAGAUGGACCUGCGUUGUAUUAGCUAGUUGGUGGGGUAACGGCCCACCAAGGCGACGAUACAUAGCCGACCUGAGAGGGUGAUCGGCCACACUGGGACUGAGACACGGCCCAGACUCCUACGGGAGGCAGCAGUAGGGAAUCUUCGGCAAUGGACGGAAGUCUGACCGAGCAACGCCGCGUGAGUGAAGAAGGUUUUCGGAUCGUAAAGCUCUGUUGUAAGAGAAGAACGAGUGUGAGAGUGGAAAGUUCACACUGUGACGGUAUCUUACCAGAAAGGGACGGCUAACUACGU
RNAcentral lists this ribosomal RNA (494 nucleotides) under uncultured bacterium. RNAcentral describes it as "partial 16S ribosomal RNA". It matches the Rfam family "Bacterial small subunit ribosomal RNA", at positions 28 to 506 of the family's 1533-position model. The record is from RNAcentral.